Non-coding RNA from Pelobates cultripes (western spadefoot toad), 946 nucleotides. The record is from the annotation of a GenBank genome assembly. NCBI's taxonomy places the organism in Eukaryota, Metazoa, Chordata, Amphibia, Anura, Pelobatidae.
CUGGUAUUUUGAAUUCUCCACACUUUUAUUAUAACGUGGGUCUAAACUUGGGGAAGAGACCCUAUCAAUAUUGCCUCUGCUUUUGUGAACAGAGUAGUAGUAGUGCAAUAUUGCUUAUAGGGUCUUUUCUUUGAGAUACCUCCCAGAGUGCCCAAGAAGAUGCUUUCAAUAAUGUUGUAACAAUAUGUAAUACAUCCAAUCACUGUUAUAGAAUAAAGUGGUGUCUGUAAUUGGCUACAAUAGUUAAGCUCUGUGGGUACUUUGUCAUAAACUUUAUUUUUAUUUUAUUUUAUUUUUUUACAGCUUUUUUGCGUUUCCCAUGGUGCCAUUUAGUCGUUGGGGUAUCAAACUGCUGCAUCCAGAAGCUCUUGGGCUAAAACUCUCAUAAUUGACACAUUUUAUAAUUCUGUCAGUUUGCUAUGGGAGUUGUAGUCCAAGAUCUGAUUGGUCCAUAGGUCAAGAUAAUAUAUUGAAAAUAUCACGGAUGUGAGCAUUUUAUUAAACAAGGAUUUGUGGAAAAUUGACUAAUUGUAAAUGUAGGGCGUAAUAGCAGCAUUUUUGAAAAGAAAAUCUCACUUUCGACUGUUUCUGCCAUAAAUUAACAUUUCUCUUCUACAUAAUCCACAGCUCUUAUGUGUCUCAUGAUGUCUGUCAUUUAUACUGUUCUGGAAUUUAUUUUAGUUUGAUAGUAGUUUUUUUGUUAUAAUGGGUCUACUUAAAAUCCCUACAUUCAAAAUAAGAACUAUUUACAAUACGGAGUGGCCAUACGCACCUUAAACAUAACAUCAAUAAACACAUGCCCAUCCCUAUUAGCAGUAUUUUUUUAUUUUUUUUUAGCAGUUUGUAUAAAGAACAUAAUAAUAAAAUAUUCUAGAUGGGAUCUGUUCCAUUCACCGUCCCAAACUGGCCUUACUAUAUCUGUGUAUGUAAUGGAGGCUUCUAGUCC